GGAGAGAUGGCAGAGUGGUCGAUUGCGGUGGUCUUGAAAACCAUUGAGCCGAAAGGUUCCGGGGGUUCGAAUCCCUCUCUCUCCGCCA
RNAcentral lists this transfer RNA (88 nucleotides) under Opitutia bacterium. RNAcentral's name for it is "tRNA-Ser". It matches the Rfam family "tRNA". Rfam says of the family: Transfer RNA (tRNA) molecules are approximately 80 nucleotides in length. Their secondary structure includes four short double-helical elements and three loops (D, anti-codon, and T loops). The record is from RNAcentral. RNAcentral also lists the same sequence under 2 other names. Lineage: Bacteria; Pseudomonadati; Verrucomicrobiota; Opitutia.